This 492-nucleotide ribosomal RNA is filed under the name uncultured bacterium. RNAcentral's name for it is "partial 16S ribosomal RNA". It matches the Rfam family "Bacterial small subunit ribosomal RNA", at positions 29 to 507 of the family's 1533-position model. The record is from RNAcentral.
AGUGAACGCUGGCGGUAGGCCUAACACAUGCAAGUCGAACGGCAGCACAGUAAGAGCUUGCUCUUACGGGUGGCGAGUGGCGGACGGGUGAGGAAUACAUCGGAAUCUACUUUUUCGUGGGGGAUAACGUAGGGAAACUUACGCUAAUACCGCAUACGACCUACGGGUGAAAGCAGGGGAUCUUCGGACCUUGCGCGAUUGAAGGAGCCGAUGUCGGAUUAGCUAGUUGGCGGGGUAAAGGCCCACCAAGGCGACGAUCCGUAGCUGGUCUGAGAGGAUGAUCAGCCACACUGGAACUGAGACACGGUCCAGACUCCUACGGGAGGCAGCAGUGGGGAAUAUUGGACAAAGGGCGCAAGCCUGAUCCAGCCAUACCGCGUGGGUGAAGAAGGCCUUCGGGUUGUAAAGCCCUUUUGUUGGGAAAGAAAAGCAGCAGGUUAAUACCCCGCUGUUCUGACGGUACCCAAAGAAUAAGCACCGGCUAACUUCGUG